UGCAGGCUUUUGUUGGGGUGCCAAGGCUGCAAUUCAACUCGCAAAGUGCGACUCUAUUAAGGCUGCUGCCCUCUUACAUCAAUCUUACGUCACUGUGGAUGACAUCAAAGAGGUUAAGGUUCCAUUGGCAGUACUUGGAGCAGAGUUUGACCAUCCAGAGAUCGUCAAACAAUUUGAGGAGCUCUAGAUUCUGACCAGUUAAGCUCUGGAAUUUCAUAUUUUGAUACUCACUUUCAAGGCCUCAUAGUUCAGAAAAGGUCUCUUUCUCUCUCUCUCUAUAUAUUUAUAUAACUGCAGCUGUC
This is a long non-coding RNA of Humulus lupulus (European hop), 302 nucleotides long. RefSeq lists it as uncharacterized. The transcript is spliced from 3 exons. The record is from RefSeq and is a predicted model, not a curated record. Lineage: Eukaryota; Viridiplantae; Streptophyta; Magnoliopsida; Rosales; Cannabaceae.